This 253-nucleotide ribosomal RNA is filed under the name uncultured bacterium. Its description in RNAcentral is "partial 16S ribosomal RNA". It matches the Rfam family "Bacterial small subunit ribosomal RNA", at positions 524 to 776 of the family's 1533-position model. The record is from RNAcentral.
UACGUAGGUGGCAAGCGUUGUUCGGAAUCACUGGGCAUAAAGCGCGCGUAGGCGGCUCUCUAAGUCGGGUGUGAAAGCCCUCGGCUCAACCGAGGAACGGCGCCCGAUACUGGAGAGCUUGAGGGCCGGAGGGGAGAGUGGAAUUCCCGGUGGAGCGGUGAAAUGCGUAGAGAUCGGGAAGAACGCCGGCGGCGAAAGCGACUCUCUGGUCGGUUCCUGACGCUGAGGCGCGAAAGCUAGGGGAGCAAACGGG